AGUCGAACGAAGGCUUCGGCCUUAGUGGCGCACGGGUGCGUAACGCGUGGGAACAUACCCUUUUCUACGGAAUAGCUCUGGGAAACUGGAAUUAAUACCGUAUACGCCCUACGGGGGAAAGAUUUAUCGGGGAAGGAUUGGCCCGCGUUGGAUUAGCUAGUUGGUGGGGUAAAGGCCUACCAAGGCGACGAUCCAUAGCUGGUCUGAGAGGAUGAUCAGCCACAUUGGGACUGAGACACGGCCCAAACUCCUACGGGAGGCAGCAGUGGGGAAUAUUGGACAAUGGGCGCAAGCCUGAUCCAGCCAUGCCGCGUGAGUGAUGAAGGCCUUAGGGUUGUAAAGCUCUUUCACCGAUGAAGAUAAUGACGGUAGUCGGAGAAUAAGCCCCGGCUAACUCCGUGCCAGCAGCCGCGGUAAUACGGAGGGGGCUAGCGUUGUUCGGAAUUACUGGGC
This 453-nucleotide ribosomal RNA is filed under the name uncultured bacterium. RNAcentral describes it as "bacterial SSU rRNA". It matches the Rfam family "Bacterial small subunit ribosomal RNA", at positions 60 to 559 of the family's 1533-position model. The record is from RNAcentral.